GGUACCGAUGACUUAUAGUAUAAUGUAGAAGCAGGAUUUUGUCAUUGGUAGUUCUGUCACUAUAUAACUUAUUCUAUUGCCAGGCUUAUUAAUGUUAUAUUUUUGUUGUCAGGGCACAAAGUAAUUCAAUGUGUUUGGUUAGAGUAAGAACUACAAGUUUUCCUUUAAGAAAGAAACUUUUUGUUCAUUGUUUCUCGUAUGAAUCUG
RNAcentral lists this long non-coding RNA (207 nucleotides) under Arabidopsis lyrata. RNAcentral's name for it is "long non-coding RNA (ALYR_LNC002462)". The record is from RNAcentral. Lineage: Eukaryota; Viridiplantae; Streptophyta; Magnoliopsida; Brassicales; Brassicaceae.